RNAcentral lists this ribosomal RNA (425 nucleotides) under bacterium enrichment culture clone ALO1_GLFRUDD03G93DE. Its description in RNAcentral is "bacterial SSU rRNA". It matches the Rfam family "Bacterial small subunit ribosomal RNA", at positions 9 to 436 of the family's 1533-position model. The record is from RNAcentral.
GAGUUUGAUCAUGGCUCAGAUUGAACGCUGGCGGCAUGCCUUACACAUGCAAGUCGAACGGCAGCACGGGAGCUUGCUCCUGGUGGCGAGUGGCGAACGGGUGAGUAAUGCAUCGGAACGUAUCCUGGAGUGGGGGAUAACGUAGCGAAAGUUACGCUAAUACCGCAUAUUCUGUGAGCAGGAAAGCGGGGGACCUUCGGGCCUCGCGCUCUUGGAGCGGCCGAUGCCGGAUUAGCUAGUUGGUGAAGUAAAGGCUCACCAAGGCGACGAUCCGUAGCAGGUCUGAGAGGAUGAUCUGCCACACUGGAACUGAGACACGGUCCAGACUCCUACGGGAGGCAGCAGUGGGAAUUUUGGGACAAUGGGGGCAACCCUGAGUCCAGCCAUGCCGCGUGAGUGAAGAAGGCCUCGGUUGUAAGUACGUC